GAGAGUUGCCAAAAGCAGCAAUCUUCCUCUCAGUUGUGCAGGGGUUGUGUUAAAUGCAUUAAGCGAUGUUUCGAUUGUGGAUGCUGCUUAAUUAAUUGCGAUUACGUGGAGCUGUUCCAUUUCGAGUCGCUUUGUUUAGAUUGCCCGAUAGAUCCCGUGGGUUCGCAAUAGGGGGAGCAGAAAACCGCCCCUUUGUCUGAAACCACUGUUCACUAGGGGGAGGGUUACCAUAUUUACCUCUAUGGCUUGGAUGCAUAAUGUUUGUUGCUUUUCUUGGCUGUAGGAAAGCUUUGGGAUCACAUAAUGCUUUCGAGCAUCAGAUUUGAAAUGGAAGUCCUUUGUCUAUGUUGAAGAAAUUGGAGUCUGCAUAUUGUCGAACAUGGCAGGCCAGAAACUGAUCUUCCGCAUGGAUGCUUUGAUAAUCUUAUGUUAUAUGUAAGCUAUGUCAUGACUGUGUUAAGUAAAACUUCUGCCGAGUAACCCUUGUGUUGUAUGCAUGCUGGGUCAUGAUUAUGUUGAGUAACCCCAAUGUUGUAUGGUUGAUAUAUCAUGAUUCUGUUAAGUUACCGUUAUGCUGUGUCAUGAUUAUGUUUGAGUCAUGAUUUGUAGCGUAACGAAGGAGAGUAAUGUCAUUCACGAUGUUAC
Molecule: unclassified non-coding RNA, 645 nt
Filed under: Hevea brasiliensis (rubber tree)
Lineage: Eukaryota; Viridiplantae; Streptophyta; Magnoliopsida; Malpighiales; Euphorbiaceae
Source: RNAcentral